CCUACGGGAGGCAGCAGUAGGGAAUCUUUCACAAUGGGCGAAAGCCUGAUGGAGCAACGCCGCGUGCAGGAUGAAGGCCUUCGGGUUGUAAACUGCUUUUAUAAGCGAGAAAUAUGAUGGUAACUUAUGAAUAAGUAUCGGCUAACUACGUGCCAGCAGCCGCGGUCAUACGUAGGAUCCGAGCAUUAUCCGGAGUGACUGGGUGUAAAGAGUUGCGUAGGUGGCAUAAUAAGUAGCUAGUGAAAUCUGGUGGCUCAACCAUUCAGACUAUUAGCUAAACUGUUAAGCUCGAGACCGUUAGGGGUAACUGGAAUUGCUAGUGUAGGAGUGAAAUCCGUAGAUAUUAGAAGGAACACCAAUAGCGUAGGCAGGUUGCUGGGACGGUUCUGACACUAAGGCACGAAAGCGUAGGGAGCAAACGGGAUUAGAUACCCCUGUAGUC
Molecule: ribosomal RNA, 442 nt
Filed under: uncultured bacterium
Lineage: Bacteria
Description: partial 16S ribosomal RNA
Rfam family: Bacterial small subunit ribosomal RNA
Source: RNAcentral